RNAcentral lists this ribosomal RNA (497 nucleotides) under uncultured bacterium. Its description in RNAcentral is "partial 16S ribosomal RNA". It matches the Rfam family "Bacterial small subunit ribosomal RNA", at positions 28 to 507 of the family's 1533-position model. The record is from RNAcentral.
GAUGAACGCUGGCGGCGUGCCUAAUACAUGCAAGUCGAGCGAACAGACGAGGAGCUUGCUCCUCUGACGUUAGCGGCGGACGGGUGAGUAACACGUGGAUAACCUACCUAUAAGACUGGGAUAACUUCGGGAAACCGGAGCUAAUACCGGAUAAUAUAUUGAACCGCAUGGUUCAAUAGUGAAAGACGGUUUUGCUGUCACUUAUAGAUGGAUCCGCGCCGCAUUAGCUAGUUGGUAAGGUAACGGCUUACCAAGGCAACGAUGCGUAGCCGACCUGAGAGGGUGAUCGGCCACACUGGAACUGAGACACGGUCCAGACUCCUACGGGAGGCAGCAGUAGGGAAUCUUCCGCAAUGGGCGAAAGCCUGACGGAGCAACGCCGCGUGAGUGAUGAAGGUCUUCGGAUCGUAAAACUCUGCUAUUAGGGAAGAACAAAUGUGUAAGUAACUAUGCAGGUCUUGACGGUACCUAAUCAGAAAGCCACGGCUAACUACGUG